RNAcentral lists this ribosomal RNA (571 nucleotides) under Acinetobacter johnsonii. Its description in RNAcentral is "bacterial SSU rRNA". It matches the Rfam family "Bacterial small subunit ribosomal RNA", at positions 20 to 585 of the family's 1533-position model. The record is from RNAcentral. Lineage: Bacteria; Pseudomonadati; Pseudomonadota; Gammaproteobacteria; Moraxellales; Moraxellaceae.
UGGCUCAGAUUGAACGCUGGCGGCAGGCUUAACACAUGCAAGUCGAGCGGGGAAAGGUAGCUUGCUACCUGACCUAGCGGCGGACGGGUGAGUAAUGCUUAGGAAUCUGCCUAUUAGUGGGGGACAACAUUCCGAAAGGAAUGCUAAUACCGCAUACGCCCUACGGGGGAAAGCAGGGGAUCUUCGGACCUUGCGCUAAUAGAUGAGCCUAAGUCAGAUUAGCUAGUUGGUGGGGUAAAGGCCUACCAAGGCGACGAUCUGUAGCGGGUCUGAGAGGAUGAUCCGCCACACUGGGACUGAGACACGGCCCAGACUCCUACGGGAGGCAGCAGUGGGGAAUAUUGGACAAUGGGCGAAAGCCUGAUCCAGCCAUGCCGCGUGUGUGAAGAAGGCCUUUUGGUUGUAAAGCACUUUAAGCGAGGAGGAGGCUACUUGGAUUAAUACUCUAGGAUAGUGGACGUUACUCGCAGAAUAAGCACCGGCUAACUCUGUGCCAGCAGCCGCGGUAAUACAGAGGGUGCGAGCGUUAAUCGGAUUUACUGGGCGUAAAGCGUGCGUAGGCGGCUUCUUA